CGUGUAGGCGGAUGGGGACGUCGGUUGCUGAAAAUCCCCCGGCUCAACCGGGGAACGGGCACCGAAACGCCCCGUCUGGAGGGACGUAGGGGGACCUGGAACUUCCGGUGGAGCGGUGAAAUGCGUUGAGAUCGGAAGGAACGCCCGUGGCGAAAGCGAGGUCCUGGACGUUUUCUGACGCUGAGACGCGAAAGCUAGGGGAGCGAACG
This 209-nucleotide ribosomal RNA is filed under the name uncultured bacterium. RNAcentral's name for it is "partial 16S ribosomal RNA". It matches the Rfam family "Bacterial small subunit ribosomal RNA", at positions 568 to 774 of the family's 1533-position model. The record is from RNAcentral.